CUUCGUAGGCUCCUCUGACUGCCACCUUUGGCGGCUGCUGCCUUAGGUCCAGGUGUUCUAACCAGUUGGUGCAGUUGGAGGGCCCAAAGAGAAGGAAACCGGCGAGGGAGGGGCUGCCAAAAGCGUGUGAAGACAAAUGGAAGGCCUGGCCAACUCUGAACCUCUGCUACUGCUACUAGGACUAAGCCAAGCUGAUUACAGGAGGAUGCAAAGCCAAGCUGAUUGCAGGAGGAUGUCCAAAGGUGGAAGCCCAACUGAGCAGACUUAGCCCCGGAAGUCAAAGAAGAGAAUCGUGUGCCUGGAGUCAGCAGAACCCGCCAAAGAAGGGUAGGUAUGCCAGAGAGGAAUAGUAGCCCUCCGCAGCUGCACAAGCCAACUAGUCAAGCGGCCUACAAAGGCAACCAUGACACCCAGUAGCUAGGAAAGGUGCAACCGUAAGCCCCGUGGCGGAAGGAGAAGGUAGCCCAGAAGUACUCUCAGCCCUGCCUAGCCAGAAAAGGCUCCUCCCUACAGCCUCGAAGGGAAAGUAGUCCAGUGACAAGCUCACUCUCUCGAUCAACAGAGGUUCUGGCGCCCACAGCCUCGAAGGGAAAGUAGCUUAGCCAAAGCCACUCUUAAAGGCGGCUCACCAGCUACAGUCAAAGAGCUCAGAACCGCCGAACAAAACGAAAAGCCAUCCCUGCUAGCCACCGCCGAAGGGUUCCCGCAUGCAGAAGAAGGCCUGCCAGCCCUGUGUAAACCAGAGACAGAGAGGAAUAGUAGCCCACUGCAGCUGCAGAAGCCAAGUAGGCAAACGUACUACCGAGGUGUCGGAAGCCCCCAGAGAGAAGGCCAAAGAGCUCAGAGCCGCCGAACAAAACGAAAAACCCCUCCUGUGCUAGCGUGUACCAAAAGGCUGCCAUCACCGCACAAACGCCCUAUCCGGUGGUCAGAGCUGCCGGAAGAGACGAAAAACCGUCCCUGCACUAGCCACAACCAAAAGACCCAAAGUUGGCAAAGGAAGGGGCUCGUUAGAACCGACCAACCUAACGCCGGGGUGGCAAAGGAAGGGACCCAUUAGAGCCGACCGAUCCAGCUGCUCUGAUCAACCUACCGUCAAGGCAAGCGACCCUUCACGCGGUAGCGUCGUACUAGCUGAACAUGUUCUCCUCUCGCCCUGAGGCAAA
Molecule: long non-coding RNA, 1166 nt
Organism: Sycon ciliatum
Lineage: Eukaryota; Metazoa; Porifera; Calcarea; Leucosolenida; Sycettidae
Exons: 2
Source: RefSeq, a predicted model, not a curated record